RNAcentral lists this long non-coding RNA (1561 nucleotides) under Astyanax mexicanus (Mexican tetra). Its description in RNAcentral is "lncRNA (ENSAMXG00005002808.1)". The record is from RNAcentral. Lineage: Eukaryota; Metazoa; Chordata; Actinopteri; Characiformes; Acestrorhamphidae.
CGUCCUCCAACCACUCUGGACCGAAUGGUAUUGUAGAUACUGGUUUGGAAACAUACACUGCUUUUAUCCCCUUUCUAGAAUCAACCCUAUUGAUUAACCCUGAGCACCUUCUAGUAGCUGAAAUAAUUAGACCAAACUUUACUACCGCCAUUGUAUGGUAUUUUGCCACCCCAGGUGAUAACACCUCUCUAAGUCGCAGACAAUACUUUCGUUCAUUUGUAACCAGCAAGUCUUCACUAACAGAAUACUGCUGCCAUUGGAUUGCGUCCUAACCAUGCGACUUGUACGAAUCAAGACUAAGAGUCUUGACCUUUGGAGGUCCCAUAAGGACCAUCUCUUACUCGGUUUGUCAGUAGUCAUGGCAGCCUUUAUUACCUCUGCAUUGGGUGCCUUAGCCAUAGCUAUGAUAUGCAGCACUUACCAAACCGGCUCCCUGGCUACGAUUCCCAUCCAAAAGUUUGACAACUCUUCUCAGACUAUCUUUAAACGCUCACUUGACAUGAACAAGUACAGACGUUCCAUUGUCCAUCAGACUUGGUAUGAAGCGGGCAAUCGCACGUGUGAACGAUACUGUCCUUAUGUCGACCCAACAGUUUCUAUGUCAAAUUCCGACCUAUUCUCAUCAUUUUCCUACGCGAAUAUUUACUUUGAGUGGACCCAAUAUCGCCAAUCUGAUUACAAAACAACUAAAAAACGCUGUUUGCCAUCGCCUGCCAAUAUCUGUGACCAACCUGCUAACUGUUUCAAUUCUGCACGCCUUAAGAGACGACCAUCCAAGACUUUGCAUUGCAGCCUAGCUUUAUUAAUGUCAUACUUCCUGACCAUUACACCCUCGACACGCGACAGAUACACCUACUUCCAAGUUGAAUAUCGUUCAAUGACCUCAGUAGCGUUCCUAAUUGACACCAAAGGUAAAUUUUCUCUUAAGGCUUACCCAAUUGGUUCUAACUGCUCACAUCAGGCUCAAUAUACUUUAAAUGCCUUCUGCGAGCCUUUAAUUUGCUAUGAACAAGCCCGCCUUAACAGAACUCCAAGAGCUGUGGUGCAUUCCUGGGAAGCUCAGAGAUUGUUCACGUUCGAUUCCUUAGACCCCAAUGACUUACCUGACACAGAUAAUGACCCUGGUGUAGUAAUUUCCCAAUAUGCUGACCAGAAUAUGUUUUAUCAAUAUUUGACCUAUACCGCCCAAUCAGUUGCUUCAACUGACUGUUUACCUUGUCACAAUGGGAACAGCGUCCCAACUAUAACCCCCAUAGACGGUUUAGAUAUUGUCACUAACAGAACAGUUCCGUCCCCUCUGCAAUGCCUGAUGUCUUCAUUGACCAUUCCCAGCCAACACUCAACUGUUGAUCCAAGAUGUUCUGAUAUUGAUGGCCCAAUUGUUCCACCACCUCCAGUNAUACGUGAUACUGGAGCUCAGUAUCCUUUUUGUUUUUGCAGAACCAAUUCACGACACACUCUUCCUGAACUUGACAAUAGGUGUCGUAUCAGACUUAACCCUUUUGGUACUGAUAUACUCACAGGAUACAGAUAUCUUAAGGUUAACUUAGCUAACGGUACC